UUGGAGGGCAAGUCUGGUGCCAGCAGCCGCGGUAAUUCCAGCUCCAAUAGCGUAUAUUAAAGUUGUUGCCGUUAAAAAGCUCGUAGUUGAACCUUGGGCCUGGCUGAUCUGUCCCCCUAAUCGAGCGCACGGAUUCGGUCGGGCCUUUCCUUCUGGGGANCCGUAUGCCCUUCACUGGGCGUACUGGGGAACCAGGACUUUUACCUUGAAAAAAUUGAGUGUUCAAAGCAGGCCUUUGCUCGAAUACAUUAGCAUGGAAUAAUAGAAUAGGACAGUAGG
Molecule: ribosomal RNA, 279 nt
Filed under: uncultured Ascomycota
Lineage: Eukaryota; Fungi; Ascomycota
Description: partial 18S ribosomal RNA
Rfam family: Eukaryotic small subunit ribosomal RNA
Source: RNAcentral